This 496-nucleotide ribosomal RNA is filed under the name uncultured bacterium. RNAcentral's name for it is "partial 16S ribosomal RNA". It matches the Rfam family "Bacterial small subunit ribosomal RNA", at positions 28 to 507 of the family's 1533-position model. The record is from RNAcentral.
GAUGAACGCUGGCGGCGUGCCUAAUACAUGCAAGUCGAGCGAACAGACGAGGAGCUUGCUCCUCUGACGUUAGCGGCGGACGGGUGAGUAACACGUGGAUAACCUACCUAUAAGACUGGGAUAACUUCGGGAAACCGGAGCUAAUACCGGAUAAUAUAUUGAACCGCAUGGUUCAAUAGUGAAAGACGGUUUUGCUGUCACUUAUAGAUGGAUCCGCGCCGCAUAGCUAGUUGGUAAGGUAACGGCUUACCAAGGCAACGAUGCGUAGCCGACCUGAGAGGGUGAUCGGCCACACUGGAACUGAGACACGGUCCAGACUCCUACGGGAGGCAGCAGUAGGGAAUCUUCCGCAAAGGGCGAAAGCCUGACGGAGCAACGCCGCGUGAGUGAUGAAGGUCUUCGGAUCGUAAAACUCUGUUAUUAGGGAAGAACAAAUGUGUAAGUAACUAUGCACGUCUUGACGGUACCUAAUCAGAAAGCCACGGCUAACUACGUG